This 64-nucleotide transfer RNA is filed under the name Cavia porcellus (domestic guinea pig). It matches the Rfam family "tRNA", at positions 1 to 62 of the family's 71-position model. From Rfam's summary of the family: Transfer RNA (tRNA) molecules are approximately 80 nucleotides in length. Their secondary structure includes four short double-helical elements and three loops (D, anti-codon, and T loops). Further hydrogen bonds mediate the characteristic L-shaped molecular structure. tRNAs have two regions of fundamental functional importance: the anti-codon, which is responsible for specific mRNA codon recognition, and the 3' end, to which the tRNAs corresponding amino acid is attached (by aminoacyl-tRNA synthetases). tRNAs cope with the degeneracy of the genetic code in two manners: having more than one tRNA (with a specific anti-codon) for a particular amino acid; and 'wobble' base-pairing, i.e. permitting non-standard base-pairing at the 3rd anti-codon position. The record is from Rfam by way of RNAcentral. Lineage: Eukaryota; Metazoa; Chordata; Mammalia; Rodentia; Caviidae.
GGGGAUUUAGCUCAGUGGCAUAAGCGCUUGCCUUCCAAGCAAGUGGUUGUGAGUUUGAUCCCUG